RNAcentral lists this long non-coding RNA (545 nucleotides) under Brassica rapa (field mustard). RNAcentral describes it as "long non-coding RNA (BRAP_LNC004492)". Lineage: Eukaryota; Viridiplantae; Streptophyta; Magnoliopsida; Brassicales; Brassicaceae. The record is from RNAcentral.
ACCCUAAACCCUGGGAUAAAUCAUAAUUCUAAAUCAAAAACACUAAACACUAAAAUCAUAAACCCUUGAGUGUUUUAGUGUUUAUUGUUUUUGAUUUAGAGUUUAUGAUUUAUCCAAGGGUUUAUGAUUUAUUCAAGGGUUUAGAGUAUCGGAUUUAGGGUUUAGGGAUUAGGAUUUAAGGUUUAGUUUUUUUCCUGACGACGUUAAAAAUAUUGUUUUUGUAAUUACUACUAUUUUUAUUUUUUAUUUUUUAUUUUUUUAAUCCUUUUAUUUUAAAAACAUAAUAUAACUUGACAAUAUUUUGUUUCCUUUUAUAAAAGAUAUCAAAUUUGAAAUAACAUAAUCCUAUUGGUUGGUGAGCCUAGAGGUUCACCCUAGGGGGUGAACCCAAGAAUAAGUCAUUUUUAAUAUUGACAUCUGUUAAAAAAUAUUUUAUACUCAUAUUAUUUUUGAUCAUUUGUAUUUCCUUAUAACAAAUUUUUUAAAUCAAUAAUAACAAUAAAAAAAAUUUGGGAUGUUUAAUAGUUUUAGUAAUUAAUAAUUUU